Molecule: unclassified non-coding RNA, 399 nt
Filed under: soil metagenome
Description: partial contains 5.8S ribosomal RNA, internal transcribed spacer 2, and large subunit ribosomal RNA
Rfam family: 5.8S ribosomal RNA (bases 1-122)
Source: RNAcentral
GAUGAAGAACGCAGCGAAAUGCGAUACUUGGUGUGAAUUGCAGAAUCCCGUGAACCAUCGAGUCUUUGAACGCAAGUUGCGCCUCAAGCCAUUAGGUUGAGGGCACGUCUGCCUGGGCGUCACAUAUCGUUGCCUGAUGCCAGUUUCCUCGUGAUGGGUGACUGUGCAGGGCGAAUGAUGGCUUCCCGUGAGCAUUGUUGCCUCAUGGUUGGUGAAAAUUGAGUCCUUGGUAGGGAGCGCCGUGAUAGAUGGUGGUUGAGUGACGAACGAGACCCAAUCAUGUGAGACCCCUACCGAAUUUGGCCUUCAUGACCCACAUGCGUCUUUGGAACGCUCAUGACGAGACCUCAGGUCAGGCGGGGCUACCCGCUGAGUUUAAGCAUAUCAAUAAGCGGAGGA